AUUGAACGCUGGCGGCGUGCCUAACACAUGCAAGUCGAGCGGUAACAGGUGUAGCAAUACAUGCUGACGAGCGGCGAACGGGUGAGUAAUGCUUUGGAAUCUUCCCAGUAGUGGGGAAUAACCAGUCGAAAGAUUGGCUAAUACCGCAUACGUCUGUAAAGGGAAAGCGGGGGACUCGCCUCUUCUUCGGAAGAGAGGCCUCGCGCUAUUGGAUGAGCCAAAGCGGAUUAGCUAGUUGGUGGGGUAAUGGCCUACCAAGGCGACAAUCCGUAGCUGGUCUGAGAGGACGACCAGCCACACCGGAACUGAGACACGGUCCGGACUCCUACGGAA
Molecule: ribosomal RNA, 333 nt
Filed under: uncultured bacterium
Lineage: Bacteria
Description: bacterial SSU rRNA
Rfam family: Bacterial small subunit ribosomal RNA
Source: RNAcentral